Molecule: ribosomal RNA, 297 nt
Filed under: uncultured bacterium
Lineage: Bacteria
Description: partial 16S ribosomal RNA
Rfam family: Bacterial small subunit ribosomal RNA
Source: RNAcentral
GACGAACGCUGGCGGCGUGCUUAACACAUGCAAGUCGAGCGGUAAGGCCCUUUCGGGGGUACACGAGCGGCGAACGGGUGAGUAACACGUGGGUGACCUGCCCUCAGCUCUGGGAUAAGCCUGGGAAACCGGGUCUAAUACUGGAUAUGACUCCAUGACGCAUGUUGUGGGGUGGAAAGCCUUGUGCGGCUGAGGAUGGGCCCGCGGCCUAUCAGCUUGUUGGUGGGGUGANGGCCUACCAAGGCGACGACGGGUAGCCGGCCUGAGAGGGCGACCGGCCACACGUGGGACUGAGAC